Molecule: ribosomal RNA, 394 nt
Filed under: uncultured bacterium
Lineage: Bacteria
Description: partial 16S ribosomal RNA
Rfam family: Bacterial small subunit ribosomal RNA
Source: RNAcentral
AUACGGAGGAUGCAAGCGUUAUCCGGAUUUAUUGGGUUUAAAGGGUGCGUAGGAGGAUGAUUAAGCGUGAGGUGAAAUGCCACUGCUCAACAGUGGAACUGCCUCGCGAACUGGUUGUCUUGAAUGCUCCUGCCGUGGGAGGAAUGUGUGGUGUAGCGGUGAAAUGCAUAGAGAUCACAUAGAACACCGAUUGCGAAGGCAUCUCACGAAGGGGUGAUUGACGCUGAGGCACGAAAGCGUGGGGAUCAAACAGGAUUAGAUACCCUGGUAGUCCACGCAGUAAACGGUGAUAACUAACCGCUGGGUCGUAGUGAUUCAGUGGCCAAGCGAAAGCGAUAAGUUAUCCACCUGGGGAGUACGGCCGCAAGGUUGAAACUCAAAGGAAUUGGCGGGG